UGAAGACUGCAGCAGAGCUUCGGAGGACCGCGGGGAAUUUGGGGUUAGGCAGGCGGUAGGAGCCGUUGGAGAGGUAUGUGGAGGUUCUCGGCGUGGGGUGAGCUGGGGAGAUGCGGCGCGUUCCUGCGGGAGUUGGAUGACGAGGCUUGGGAAGUCUCUUUACUUCCUCAACUUCCAAAUCUGAACCAUU
Molecule: long non-coding RNA, 190 nt
Organism: Sinocyclocheilus rhinocerous
Lineage: Eukaryota; Metazoa; Chordata; Actinopteri; Cypriniformes; Cyprinidae
Exons: 3
Source: RefSeq, a predicted model, not a curated record